RNAcentral lists this ribosomal RNA (457 nucleotides) under Eudactylina pusilla. RNAcentral describes it as "partial 16S ribosomal RNA". The stretch from base 195 to 457 matches the Rfam family "Bacterial large subunit ribosomal RNA", at positions 2079 to 2619 of the family's 2925-position model. Lineage: Eukaryota; Metazoa; Arthropoda; Copepoda; Siphonostomatoida; Eudactylinidae. The record is from RNAcentral.
GCCUGGUGUAACAAAAACAUAGCGAAAGAAAUUUUGGUGUAGCUGCUCAGUGAAUAAUGUUUAACGGCUAAUUUGUAGCGUAAUAAUUUGAGUUUUAAUUUUWCUCUGGAGGAAGGAGGAUGCUUAGUUAAUUUAUGUUUAUUUAAUAUAGAAGAAUUURAUUUUUGAGUGAAAAAGCUUAAAUAURUUUUAAAGACGAUAAGACCCCGAGACUUUAAUUGAUUUUGUUGGGGUAACAAGUUUACAAAAAUGAAAUUUUGUUUAAAAAAUUAAUGAACCAGGGUUUCUGUUUUAAGAUAUAAGUACCUCGGGGAUAACAGCAUUAUUUUUACUUAAAGCUCUUAUUAGCGUUAGAAAAAUGACCUCGAUGUUGAAUUAAGGUAGCUAAAAAUCGAAGAAGAUUUUUUAGUUUGGUCUGUUCGCCCAGAUAACCUUACGUGAUCUGAGUUCAGACCGG